This 253-nucleotide unclassified non-coding RNA is filed under the name uncultured Gammaproteobacteria bacterium. RNAcentral's name for it is "contains 16S-23S intergenic spacer region". It matches the Rfam family "Bacterial small subunit ribosomal RNA", at positions 524 to 776 of the family's 1533-position model. Lineage: Bacteria; Pseudomonadati; Pseudomonadota; Gammaproteobacteria. The record is from RNAcentral.
UACAGAGGGUGCAAACGUUAAUCGGAAUUACUGGGCGUAAAGCGCGCGUAGGCGGUUCGAUAAGUGGGAUGUGAAAGCCCCGGGCUCAACCUGGGAAUUGCCUUCCAAACUGUCGGGCUAGAGUGUGGUAGAGGGAGGUAGAAUUUCCUGUGUAGCGGUGAAAUGCGUAGAUAUAGGAAGGAAUACCAGCGGUGAAGGCGGCCUCCUGGACCAACACUGACGCUGAGGUGCGAAAGCGUGGGGAGCAAACAGG